This 468-nucleotide ribosomal RNA is filed under the name uncultured bacterium. RNAcentral's name for it is "partial 16S ribosomal RNA". It matches the Rfam family "Bacterial small subunit ribosomal RNA", at positions 28 to 507 of the family's 1533-position model. The record is from RNAcentral.
GACGAACGCUGGCGGCGUGCUUAACACAUGCAAGUCGAACGGAAAGGCCCUGCAUUUGUGGGGUGCUCGAGUGGCGAAAGGGUGAGUAACACGUGAGUGACCUGCCCUUUACUUUGGGAUAACUUCAGGAAACUGGGGCUAAUACCGCAUAUGAGCUCCUUCUGCAUGGGGGGUGUGGGAAAGUGUCGGCGGUUGGGGAUGGACUCGCGGCUUAUCAGCGUGUUGGUGGGGUAGUGGCUUACCAAGGCUUUGACGGGUAGCCGGCCUGAGAGGGUGACCGGCCACAUUGGGACUGAGAUACGGCCCAGACUCCUACGGGAGGCAGCGGUGGGGAAUAUUGCACAAUGGGCGGAAGCCUUAUGCAGCAACGCCGCGUGCGGGAUGACGGCCUUCGGGUUGUAAACCGCUUUCGCCUGUGACGAAGCGUGAGUGACGGUAAUGGGUAAAGAAGCACCGGCUAACUACGUG